UUCCUUGAUUGCUCAAAGUGCUGUCUUGUAUCACAGAACCUGGGAGAAGUUGUUACCGGUACGUCUACUUUAUGCAAGUGCAGGAUGAAGAUGCUGACCACCAGAGACAUCUGCUAGUGUUAGCCAUGAUGCUCUGCCACUGUGGUCAAGAGCUUUAGACUGCAUUUGCUCUAUGAAAAAUGUUUCAAAUGAAGGGAAAAAAAAAAAUACAGCACAAUUAUCUUAUUAAUCUGAUCAACUCAAGGGACCAAUGAAGAAAAAAAAAAAUCAAAAUCACCUACCAUACUUCUUAAAUCUCACCUGUUCAGUCUGUUUGAGAAAAUAAGGCCUCUGAGUGUGACUUAAGGGGACUUUCGAUUCUUGGCUGGUUUUUGUUUAAUUAGAAAAUUGUUUAAUGUAUUCAGGAAUUUGUGUAAAUAUCUUUUUUUUUUUUUUUUUUUUUUUACCAACUCUAAUAAUGGACAGAGUUGUAGGCAAAAUCAACAUUCAGCUUCCAAGUCUCUGGAAAAACUUGACAAGGACAGAAGGAAAAAGAUCUGUAAAAAGCAGCAAGGGCAAUGGUGGAAGGCAAUGAACAGCAGAGGCAAAUUAUUUAGUGCAGUAGCUUUAUCUUUAAAGCUAAAACUACUUUCCACCACGCUCAACCUCUUUUUACUUCACGCACGAUGAUCACUUUGCUGCAUUCUUUGGAUAUUUCUGUUCUAUUUCAUACAAAUUUCCUGUAGAUGGGGAUUAGGCCAUUUCAAUCACGACCUGCUCACACAACAAUUACUCAGGCAAAAGAGCUAUUAAAAUCAGUGGGAGAGUUUGGCCCGUUUAGACAAUGUGGAAUAAAAUCUAUUUACCCCCGGCAUUUUCCUAAACCUAUGUUGUUACAGGUACUGAAAGGAAUCUUUUACUGUGCAGGGUUUCAUAGAUGCCAAUCUCAUCUGUAAGAGACUGCUACGUUGGGAACAGAUCAAAAUGAUUUGGGGCAAGAGCAAUGCCCAGAGCUCUCAAGGUGAGAAUGUGGUGUCACACCUGCAGCGUCACUAACCUCCCUGCACCUGGAUCCCCACCUGCCUUGGGUCUGCUUACUGAGGCUGGUACUUCUUCAGAGAGGAAACAGUGUUUGUCUACACUACAAACAGGCCUGCCACUACCAGCCAGGCUGGGCUCUUUCCUUCUCAUGCAAAUGCUACACGGGAAGGGUGUGAGCAGAGCAGGGAGCCACAGGAGACAGCUUCCCCAGGCCAAACUGGAACUUCACUAACAGCUAAUACAGCGGACAAGGCUGAAGAGUUCAGAGAAUUCACGGACAAUGUAAAUGAGGGAAGUCACCCGACGUGGGCAAAGGCUCAUUUUUCUAAUAGAACAGAAGAACGUUGGCUUUCAAAACCCAGAACAGCAUAAGCUUUGGGAGAAAAGGGAGGGAGCCAAAGCCGGCCUUACUGCUGCCUCAGAUAUAGUGCUCCUCUUUCAUUAUCAGAGAAAAUCUUCCCAUUAAAUGCCAGCAGUCAUACAUGUAUUUAUGCAUUGAUAUUUCUAGAUGAGAGAGAUGCCCUCCUUUCUGGCAGUGUAAAAAUCAGAUUGUGUCUUUACAGUAACAUAAAUGUCUAAGAAGAUAUUUCCCAAACAGCCCAAAGCAGAUGGAUGACUAAAACUUGCCCAAAACAUUUAUUGAAACAAAACUCCAUCAGAAGCAGAACACUCAGAGCUCACAGUGGCCAGCACUUUAAAAAAGCAUAAGUAUUCAUAACUGCAGCUGCUCAGAAGUUUCCCAGUAUCUCAGAUUCACUCAAGGUUCGCAUAAGAGAUUUUCUUGUGGCUUACAGUUUGAGUAUUUAGUGAGCUGCAUUCUGAUACGGAGCUCAAGAAGAAACAAAUCACAUCACUCUGUAAGCAGCUCUGAAACCAAAUCCUUUGAGCAUUGCCCAUCACUUGAACUCUCUCACCACAUAGUUCUUCUGCAAAUAGCCUUUGUUACUAAAGUCACAGUUAAAUAGUGAUCCUAUUUGUCAUUUACACUUCAUAGAUAUCAACGGGUAUAGCUGAAAAUCUGUUAGUACUGUAUGGCACCCAACCACUAUUCACUGGCAGUAAUUAAAUCCUGAUGUAAAUAUUUCUCAAAAACAGGAACAGAUGUUUUUGGUUUUGCAACCAAGCAAUGACGAAAAUCUGACAAGUUCCAUAAACCAUAGAAGUGGGCACUUCAGAGAAAAUUUCCUCUAUGAUUUUGCUACCAUGCAGUCUCAAUUUACCAGCAAUAUUACACAGAUAAAACACAACCAUUUUCUGGUAUUACUAUUCUUGUCUUCAGUAACACAGUAAGUGUCAUGGGAACUGACAAAAGAAAAAAAAAAAACAAUAAUCGUAAUAAUGAGGCAUGAGGCUUACAAAUCUACAUUUCUGUUUUCAAACCAUAAUAAAUUAGCACAAUCACUCA
This 2425-nucleotide long non-coding RNA is filed under the name Anas platyrhynchos platyrhynchos (common mallard). Its description in RNAcentral is "lncRNA (ENSAPLG00000019570.1)". Lineage: Eukaryota; Metazoa; Chordata; Aves; Anseriformes; Anatidae. The record is from RNAcentral.